Long non-coding RNA from Apis cerana (Asiatic honeybee), 1083 nucleotides. RefSeq lists it as uncharacterized. NCBI's taxonomy places the organism in Eukaryota, Metazoa, Arthropoda, Insecta, Hymenoptera, Apidae. The record is from RefSeq and is a predicted model, not a curated record.
UUAGAUCGUCCCAGUUUAGAGAGGUGAUAGAUCCUGUGAAUUUUACUAACCCUCGUCGUGAAAUUGAACCAAAUAUCGAAAAUCUGGCAUUCAAUAUUAAAAGAAAAUUUAUUAUAAAAAAGAAAAAAAGGAAAUAAUGAUCAUUACAAUAAGAUUAUAAUAUGUUAGUGAAUUAUAAAAGAAAUUAACUAUGAUAAAAACAUAUAAAAUAAAAACAUAAAACAAAAAUAUAAAGCACAGCAAAAUAUCGCAACGAGUCGCCAACGAAUUAGCAAAUUAACGAUCAGUCAAGAUGUCAAGAACAAUUCACGAGAAAUCGCUACUCGUUGCAAUAUACGCGUUGCACGCGCCGCUUAAUCGAUCAAUUACCCUGUGGAAAAGUCGUACACGUGCAGUGACGAAUACGUUGUUGCAAAGUAGAUUGAUUUAAACAUGAAUUUAAUGAAACUGUUUGGAAAAUCAAAGAAAUCGAGAUAUGUUCGAGUCGAAGGAAUAACGCGAAACUCACUAAAAGAACAAGUGCGCAACUAGCUGCCAACUAACCCCCACCACCAGCUACGCAACCCCAGAAACCGCAACGCGACUCGAGCUGCUGCAGUGCGCAACAACCCCUCAACUGACCGACACCGAUCUUGUGAAAUUUAAAGCAAAUAUACAACCUAUGCUCCAGAUAUCAAUGGCACAUGAAUAUCUAUUGGCACCAAGAAGAAUUUCUGGAGCUCUAUACCAUAAAGUGACUACUUCAUGUGUAUAUACUCUAACUGGUAUUCCAAAUGCUCUUCCAAGUCCAAAAUCUGCUACCUUGAUCAAUCCUGAUUUGUCAAUCAAUAAAUUUUGUGGUUUCAGAUCACGAUGAAAUAUUCUACGUUUAUGACAGAAUAAAAUAGCACGUGUAAUCUAAAAAAAGGAUUACAUAUAUUUUAACUUUUAUAAAAUAUUUUGAUAUUUAUUAAUUCAUAUUAUAAAAUAAUUUUAUGUGUAAUAAUAAUUUAUGUAUAAUUAUAUAUAAAUAAUAUUAUAAUAAUAUUAUUGUAAUAAAAUUAUUAUAUUUUAUAUUAUAUAUUAAAAUAAUUUCAAACCUGA